Molecule: non-coding RNA, 1405 nt
Organism: Salmo salar (Atlantic salmon)
Lineage: Eukaryota; Metazoa; Chordata; Actinopteri; Salmoniformes; Salmonidae
Source: RefSeq, a predicted model, not a curated record
ACUACUAGUACUAUGCCCUCAGCUGGUAAGCCUCGGCAGACUGAUUAUGAUGGUUGGUAGAGUGUAGGCACAGAGGAGAGGGUUGUUAAGACUAGGGUUCAACCCAUAGUUAUAAUAACAAUAAUACAUUUUAUUUGGCGGACACCUUUCAAGAGGAGUUUGGCAUAUAAGGGCAGCGGAGCAUUUGUUUAUGGAAGUUUUUCCUGUCAUAAUCAGGUGCCGAGCUGCCCUGCCCAAGCCAAAGGGAGGACAGCUGCAUAUGAUCUCCCCUGGCGACUGGAUCGUGGUGAAGAAUCUGAGACGAAUGCACUGGCACCAACCUCGGUGGAGGGGACCAUACCAAGUGCUGCUGACCCCUCCGACUAUGGUCAGGAUCGCUGAAAGGGACAACUGGAUCCAAGGAUCCCACUGCCUGAACGUGGGCAACCCUGAGGACGAUCAGAUAUGAGUAGGUGGACCACAAAACAAGUGGAGUGGAAGAACCUGUCAAUGUUGGGGUGAGUGUCUGUGAUUUGCUUCGAAUAUGUAUGUGCUUUGAAUAUUUCUCUGCCUGUGCUACGUUUACAGCAUACAACGUAAUAAUGACAAUAUCCAUGAUGUUUCGAGCAUGUUUCCUGCUAAAUUACAGGACUGUUUUGCUAGCACAGACUGGAAUAUGUUCCGGGAUUCUUCCGAUGGCAUUGAGGAGUACGCACAUCAGUCACUGGCUUCAUCGAGGAUGUCGUCCCCACAGUGACUGUGCGUACAUACCCCAACCAGAAGCCAUGGAUUACAGGCAACAUUCGCACUGAGCUAAAGGGUAGAGCUGCCACUUUCAAGGUACGAGACUCUAACCCGGAAGCUUAUUAGAAAUCCUGCUAAGACGAACCAUCAAACAGGCAAAGUGCAAAUACAGGACUAAGAUUGAAUUGCACUAUACCGGCUCCGAUACUCGUUGGAUAUGGCAGGGCCUGAAAACUAUUACAGAAUACAAAGGGAAGCACAGUCACAAACUGCCCAGUGACAUGAGCCUAGCAGAUGAUCUAAAUCACUUCUAUGCUCGCUUCGAGGCAAGCAACACUGAGGCAUGCAUGAGAGAAUCAGCUGUUCCGGACCACUGUGUUAUCACAGACGGAUUACCAGGACGUAUGUUCCGGGCAUGUGCUGACCAACUGGCAGGUAUCUUCACUGACAUUUUCAACAUGCCCCUGAUUGAGUCUGUAAUACCAACAUGCUUCAUGCAGACCACCAUAGUCCCUGAGGUAACCUGCCUAAAUGACUACAGACCCGUAGCACUCACAUCCAUAGCCAUGAAGUGCUUGGAAAGGCUGGGCAUGGCUCAUGUUAACACCAUUAUCCCAGAAAGCCUAGACCCACUCCAAUUUGCAUACCGCUCAAACAGAUCCACAGAUAAUGCAAUCUCUAU